RNAcentral lists this ribosomal RNA (274 nucleotides) under uncultured bacterium. RNAcentral describes it as "partial 16S ribosomal RNA". It matches the Rfam family "Bacterial small subunit ribosomal RNA", at positions 523 to 796 of the family's 1533-position model. The record is from RNAcentral.
AUACGGAGGGUCCGAGCGUUAUCCGGAAUCAUUGGGUUUAAAGGGUCCGUAGGCGGGAAUCUAAGUCAGUGGUGAAAUCUUGCAGCUCAACUGUAAAAUUGCCAUUGAUACUGGAUUUCUUGAAUUAGUGUGAAGUGAUUAGAGUGUGUAGUGUAGCGGUGAAAUGCAUAGAUAUUACACAGAAUACCAAUUGCGAAGGCAGAUCACUAACACUAUAUUGACGCUGAGGGACGAAAGCGUGGGGAGCGAACAGGAUUAGAAACCCUAGUAGUCC